This is a long non-coding RNA of Limulus polyphemus (Atlantic horseshoe crab), 157 nucleotides long. RefSeq lists it as uncharacterized. The transcript is spliced from 3 exons. The record is from RefSeq and is a predicted model, not a curated record. Lineage: Eukaryota; Metazoa; Arthropoda; Merostomata; Xiphosura; Limulidae.
UUUGCUAUGUAACCUUAGCAUAUCUACACGUAAGGAAGAAAGUAAUUUAGCAAAUUCAUAAAUAGUGGAUUUUGACAGCAAAUCCCUUAUUUCCUUUGUAUUACUGGCGUUUAUCAUUUAUAAACAUAACACAGUGAAAGUAAAGGAGUUUUUCUAA